AUGAACGUUGGCGGCGUGGAUUAGGCAUGCAAGUCGUGCGUGUACCCCGCAAGGGGGAAAGCGGCGAAAGGGAGAGUAACGCGUGGGUUAUCUGCCCUCUGGACCGGGAUAGCUGCGGGAAACUGCAGGUAAUACCGGAUGACGUCUGCGGACCAAAUGGUGUGAUUCCGCCGGAGGAUGAGCCCGCGUCCUAUUAGCUAGUUGGUAGGGUAAUGGCCUACCAAGGCUACGAUGGGUACUGGGUGUGAGAGCACGACCCAGCUCACUGGGACUGAGACACUGCCCAGACACCUACGGGUGGCUGCAGUCGAGAAUCUUCGGCAAUGAGCGCAAGCUUGACCGAGCGACGCCGCGUGCGGGAUGAAGGCUUUCGGGUUGUAAACCGCUGUCAGUGGGGAGGAAGUGCGCGGGGGUUCACCCUCGUGUUUGACCUAUCCGCAGAGGAAGUCAGGGCUAAGUUCGU
RNAcentral lists this ribosomal RNA (463 nucleotides) under uncultured bacterium. RNAcentral's name for it is "bacterial SSU rRNA". It matches the Rfam family "Bacterial small subunit ribosomal RNA", at positions 29 to 506 of the family's 1533-position model. The record is from RNAcentral.